GCGCUGCAUUAGCUAGUUGGUAAGGUAACGGCUUACCAAGGCAACGAUGCAUAGCCGACCUGAGAGGGUGAUCGGCCACACUGGAACUGAGACACGGUCCAGACUCCUACGGGAGGCAGCAGUAGGGAAUCUUCCGCAAUGGGCGAAAGCCUGACGGAGCAACGCCGCGUGAGUGAUGAAGGUCUUCGGAUCGUAAAACUCUGUUAUUAGGGAAGAACAUAUGUGUAAGUAACUGUGCACAUCUUGACGGUACCUAAUCAGAAAGCCACGGCUAACUACGUGCCAGCAGCCGCGGUAAUACGUAGGUGGCAAGCGUUAUCCGGAAUUAUUGGGCGUAAAGCGCGCGUAGGCGGUUUUUUAAGUCUG
Molecule: ribosomal RNA, 366 nt
Filed under: Staphylococcus aureus
Lineage: Bacteria; Bacillati; Bacillota; Bacilli; Caryophanales; Staphylococcaceae
Description: bacterial SSU rRNA
Rfam family: Bacterial small subunit ribosomal RNA
Source: RNAcentral